Molecule: long non-coding RNA, 1645 nt
Filed under: Sus scrofa (pig)
Lineage: Eukaryota; Metazoa; Chordata; Mammalia; Artiodactyla; Suidae
Description: lncRNA (ENSSSCG00035019918.1)
Source: RNAcentral
UUUCUGGCAGUUGCACUAGAAGCAGUCCUAGAAUUUUCAGAAACUCCUGGAUGAGUGCAAGGACCAAUGCCGGCGUCAGAUAUCUGCGAGGAGUCAAAUGUUUGGACAAGACCCAUGUCCUGGCACAUGCAAGUAUCGCGUAGUAUCGCAUAGAUGCAGACCAGUGAACCACCAAAUAAAGACAGUGUGUGAGAAUGGUACACUGAGGCUUCAGUGCAGAGAUAAAUCUGUCUUGACAAUUUUUUCUGCAAGUUACGGCAAAUUCAUGGAAGGAAAACAAGAAUGUGGAGUAAUGAAUAAAAAUGGACCUGUUCAUAGAGUGCUUAGCUCCUGACACUCUACAAAGAGUCUUGAGACAAUGUCAAAAGAGAGAAAACGCUACAUUGUUUGCAGACACGCCUACUUUUGGUGAACCUUGUUUCCCAGGAGUGAAGAAACAGUUGCAAGUUUCCUUCAUAUGUGUGCCUAUAAAGCUGCUGCAACAAAUGGACCAUAGCUCACUGGACCCAUUUACACGGUCUGAUUAUAUAUAUGGGCUGCUCCCUCGGCUAGGGGUCUAAUCGGAGCUGUAGCCACCAGGCUAUGCCAGAGCCACAGCAACAUGGAAUCCAAGCUGCAUCUGCGACCUACACCACAGCUCACGGCAAUGCCGGAUCGUUAACCCACUGAGCAAGGGCAGGGACUGAACCUGCAACCUCAUGGUUCCUAGUCGGAUUCGUUAACCACUGAGCCACGACGGGAACUCCAAGAUAUGACUCCUUUUGAUCCGGCGACCUCGAAACUAAAAAUGACUGGAGAUGGAAAUAUUCCUUGAUUAGGUCUUGUUUUGUUGCUUGGGGGGUAACCCUCCAAGUCUAUCCUUAUCUGGGAAUCUUGGCAUUUUCCUCUGUUCAUUUAUCUUCAUUACUUUUUCUUUCUCUUCCUCGGACUGCAUACUUUCAAAGAACUAAAGGGAAGCAUGAGUAUGAUGUCUUACCAAAUGGAGAACUUCAAUAAAGAAAAACUGUAAAAAUUGAACUAAAUUCUGGAGCUGAAAAGUACAACUAAAAUGAAAAGUUCACUAGGAAGCUCAACAGCAUAUGUGAGCUGGCAGAAGAAUCAGCGAAAUUAAAGAUAGGCUAAUUGAAAUAGGAGGAUCCGUUUCGCCGAAGAAAACAAGUUGAGAGAAGAAUGAUAAAAUAGAUACAGGCAUACCUGAGAAAAUGGGCUUGCAUUUCCCGUGCGGCGUCUCCGGAGGACUUAUCUUUCCGUUAUGCAUCUUCCCUUCCAAAGUGACCUUUGUCCAGGACAUGAAAACUGUAUAAAUCCCAAGUUGAGCAAGAAAAAGCCACAGGAUGAGGAUGAAGACGAUAACCACGAAGAUGACAGUUCUUCUGGCUCCUCUUUUUGUCCUUUGCCUCACAGCCAUCCACCCGCAAAGAGCAUGUUUUGCCCCGAACUGCCUGCAGCUUUAGAGCACGCAGCUAAGGAAGGAAACCGAGAAAGAGAUGAAAUCUGGAUACCAAGGAAUCUAGUCCUUAUGCCAUUUACAAAAUCAAAUCUGCCGCAAGAUAAAAUGACCCAGGAUGUGCUAUUUACCGGAGUCCAAGUGUAAGGACAGAUGAUUCUAUGUUUUUUUUUUUAUAUAUAUUUUUUUAUAUAUAUA